CCUACGGGUGGCUGCAGUGGGGAAUAUUGCACAAUGGGCGCAAGCCUGAUGCAGCCAUGCCGCGUGUGUGAGGAAGGCCUUCGGGUUGUAAAGCACUUUCAGCGGGGAGGAAGGCGUUAAGGUUAAUAACCUUGGCGAUUGACGUUACCCGCAGAAGAAGCACCGCCUAACUCCGUGCCAGCAGCCGCGGUAAUACGGAGGGUGCAAGCGUUAAUCGGAAUUACUGGGCGUAAAGCGCACGCAGGCGGUCUGUCAAGUCGGAUGUGAAAUCCCCGGGCUCAACCUGGGAACUGCAUUCGAAACUGGCAGGCUAGAGUCUUGUAGAGGGGGGUAGAAUUCCAGGUGUAGCGGUGAAAUGCGUAGAGAUCUGGAGGAAUACCGGUGGCGAAGGCGGCCCCCUGGACAAAGACUGACGCUCAGGUGCGAAAGCGUGGGGAGCAAACAGGAUUAGAUACCCCAGUAGUC
This 465-nucleotide ribosomal RNA is filed under the name uncultured Klebsiella sp. RNAcentral describes it as "bacterial SSU rRNA". It matches the Rfam family "Bacterial small subunit ribosomal RNA", at positions 338 to 795 of the family's 1533-position model. The record is from RNAcentral. Lineage: Bacteria; Pseudomonadati; Pseudomonadota; Gammaproteobacteria; Enterobacterales; Enterobacteriaceae.